RNAcentral lists this ribosomal RNA (979 nucleotides) under uncultured organism. Its description in RNAcentral is "bacterial SSU rRNA". It matches the Rfam family "Bacterial small subunit ribosomal RNA", at positions 505 to 1486 of the family's 1533-position model. The record is from RNAcentral.
GUGCCAGCAGCCGCGGUAAUACGAAGGGCCCAAGCGUUAAUCGGAAUCACUGGGCUUAAAGGGUGCGCAGNCGGAAUGGUCAGUGUCUUGUGAAAUCCCACGGCUCAACCGUGGAACUGCAGGGCAUACUGCCAUUCUUGAGGCCGGUAGAGNCCGCCGGAACUCUAGGUGUACCGGUGAAAUGCGUAGAUAUCUAGAGGAACGCCAAAGACGAAGGUAGGCGGCUGGGCCGGUUCUGACGCUCAGGCACGAAAGCGUGGGGAGCAAACAGGAUUAGAUACCCUGGUAGUCCACGCCGUAAACGUUGUGCACUAGGUGCUGGAGGUUCUGACACCAUCAGCGCCGAAGCGAAAGUGAUUAGUGCACCGCCUGGGGAGUACGGUCGCAAGGCUAAAACUCAAAGGAAUUGACGGGGGCUCACACAAGCGGUGGAGCAUGUGGCUUAAUUCGAGGCAACGCGAAGAACCUUAUCCUGGGCUUGACAUGCAUGGAUUAACGCUGGGAAACCAGCGCCACACUCUUUGAGUGGAACAUGCACAGGUGCUGCAUGGCUGUCGUCAGCUCGUGCUGUGAAGUGUUGGGUUAAGUCCCUUAACGAGCGAAACCCCUGUCGCUAGUUACCAUCAGGUAAUGCUGGGGACUCUAGCGAGACUGCCGGUGUCAAACCGGAGGAAGGCGGGGAUGACGUCAAGUCCUCAUGGCCUUUAUGCCCAGGGCUGCACACGUGCUACAAUGGCGCCGGCAGAGCGAAGCAAAACCGCGAGGUAGAGCAAAUCGCAAAAAAGGUGCCCCAGUUCGGAUUGCAGUCUGCAACUCGACUGCAUGAAGCCGGAAUCGCUAGUAAUCGCGUAUCAGCAACGACGCGGGAAUACGUUCCUGAGCCUUGUACACACCGCCCGUCAAGUCAUGGAAGCCGGGAGUACCCGAAGUCGCACCGAUUCAGGUGUGCCGAUGGUAAGCUCGGUGACUGGGACUAAGU